UACCAGCUCUCCGAGUGGUGUGGAUGUUUAUUGGGCCUAAAGCAUCCGUAGCUGGCUGGGCAAGUCCCCUGUUAAAUCCACCGAUUUAAUCGUUGGUGUGCGGGGGAUACUGUUCGGCUAGGGGACGGGAGAGGCCGACGGUAUUUUCGGGGUAGGGGUGAAAUCCUAUAAUCCCGGGAAGACCACCAGUGGCGAAGGCUGUCGGCUAGAACGCGCCCGACGGUGAGGGAUGAAAGCUGGGGGGAGCGAACCGGAUUAGAUACCCGGGUAGUCCCAGCUGUAAACGAUGCAGGCUAGGUGUUUGGGCGGCCACGUGCCGCUCUAGUGCCGCAGAGAAGUCGUUAAGCCUGCCGCCUGGGGAGUACGGCCGCAGGGCUGAAACUUAAAGGAAUUGGCGGGGGAGCACCACAAGGGGUGAAGCUUGCGGUUU
Molecule: ribosomal RNA, 430 nt
Filed under: uncultured archaeon
Lineage: Archaea
Description: bacterial SSU rRNA
Rfam family: Archaeal small subunit ribosomal RNA
Source: RNAcentral